Molecule: long non-coding RNA, 425 nt
Organism: Rhagoletis zephyria (snowberry fruit fly)
Lineage: Eukaryota; Metazoa; Arthropoda; Insecta; Diptera; Tephritidae
Source: RefSeq, a predicted model, not a curated record
UUGCAAAAGAAUGCACCUACUAUAAAUGUAGCAAAGCUAUUUAUGGAAAAUUCUAGAUAUUAACCUAGUCUAAAUAUCAACCUCGUUGUAGGCAUCAUAUCAAGGAGAUACAAUUAGAAGACUCUAGAUGUCGCCCCGCCAGAAGAAGGUUUCUAGUAAUUUUCGUAGAUUUCAAUGAUGUGUAGCUAUAUGUAGGAAAUGUUAGCUGGAUCAAAGCAUAAAAGCAAUUGUCAUCAGUGGCAUCGCCAAUAGCAGCACCAAGUAAUUAAACAAAAGCAACGAAUGUCAUAACUACGAACCACAGUAAGAGAUAGCGAUUAGCAACGACCAAACCAACUAACAACGACCACAUUCAUAUCGAUAUGAGCAGCAACAACUACAGAAACAAGUGUAAAACCAAUAACAAUAGAUUUAAGUGAUACGAU